Molecule: long non-coding RNA, 215 nt
Filed under: Brassica napus (rape)
Lineage: Eukaryota; Viridiplantae; Streptophyta; Magnoliopsida; Brassicales; Brassicaceae
Description: long non-coding RNA (BNAP_LNC017933)
Source: RNAcentral
UGGGCACCAAGAAAUCCUCAGCUAAGCAUCAUCAUCAACCAGGCGUAUAGAAUAUGUACGUACAUCCUGCAUCAUCUCUGUAUAACUUAAGCAUCAUUACAAAUAAUCAAUAUAUCAAUUAUUGUUUGCUUCUUAAAAAUAUAUAUUAAGUUUGUGCUUAAUUCUCUACAUGCUUCACAAAACUGUUUGACUUCACUGUGAUAGUUCCUACGUCC